Molecule: small nuclear RNA, 319 nt
Filed under: Octodon degus (degu)
Lineage: Eukaryota; Metazoa; Chordata; Mammalia; Rodentia; Octodontidae
Description: 7SK RNA (ENSODEG00000024789.1)
Rfam family: 7SK RNA
About the family: 7SK was discovered as an abundant small nuclear RNA in the mid-70s but a possible function has only recently been suggested. Two independent studies have found that 7SK RNA binds the CDK9/cyclin T complex (known as elongation factor P-TEFb).
Source: RNAcentral
GGAUGUAAAGUUAUCUGACUGUGACAUCUGUCAACCCAUAGAUCGACAGGGUUGAUUCAGCUGAUCUGGCUGGUUAGGUGGGUGUCCCCUUCCUCCCUCAAUGCUCCAUGUGUGUCCUUCAUGAAGCUGCAUGCUCGGGUGAAGAGGACGGCCAGCCCCAUGGAGGACGACCAUUCCUUUGUCAGGGUGUAAGAGCAGCUGCGCUCCCCUGCUAGAACCACCAAAUGAGCUCCCAAGGGCCAGUAUUAUUUGAUUAAAAACAAAACCAGACUUAUAUCAAAACAAAAAAAUCCUAAAUCCAAAGUUUUUCUGCUUAUUA